AUUCCCGUUGAUCCUGCGGGAGGUUGCUGCUAUUCGGAUUCGACUAAGCCAUGCAAGUCAACUCACUUCGGUGGGUGGCGAAAUGCUCAGUAACACGUCAAUAAUCUGCCCUUAAGUCAGGCAUAACCUCGGGAAACUGGGAUUAAAACCUGAUAGGAAAAUUCUACUGGAAUGUGUUUUUUCUUAAAAGUAAUGCUUAAGGAUGAGUUGGCGGCCGAUUAGAUUGUUGGUGGGGUAGUGGCCCACCAAGUCCUCGAUCGGUACGGGUCCUGAGAGGGAUAGCCCGGAGAAGGACAAUUAGAUACUGGUCCUAGCCCUACGGGGUGCAGCAGUUACGAAACCUUUACAAUGCACGCAAGUGUGCUAAGGGGAUUCUGAGUGCUUAUGUAUUGCAUAGGC
Molecule: ribosomal RNA, 399 nt
Filed under: Candidatus Woesearchaeota archaeon
Lineage: Archaea; Nanobdellati; Candidatus Woesearchaeota
Description: bacterial SSU rRNA
Rfam family: Archaeal small subunit ribosomal RNA
Source: RNAcentral